This 501-nucleotide ribosomal RNA is filed under the name Amycolatopsis sp. SAUK6216. RNAcentral describes it as "bacterial SSU rRNA". It matches the Rfam family "Bacterial small subunit ribosomal RNA", at positions 136 to 651 of the family's 1533-position model. Lineage: Bacteria; Bacillati; Actinomycetota; Actinomycetes; Pseudonocardiales; Pseudonocardiaceae. The record is from RNAcentral.
CUCUGGGAUAAGCCUUGGAAACGGGGUCUAAUACCGGAUAUCACAACUUCAGGCAUCUGGGGUUGUUGAAAGUUCUGGCGGUGCAGGAUGAACCCGCGGCCUAUCAGCUUGUUGGUGGGGUAAUGGCCUACCAAGGCGACGACGGGUAGCCGGCCUGAGAGGGUGACCGGCCACACUGGGACUGAGACACGGCCCAGACUCCUACGGGAGGCAGCAGUGGGGAAUAUUGCACAAUGGGCGAAAGCCUGAUGCAGCGACGCCGCGUGAGGGAUGACGGCCUUCGGGUUGUAAACCUCUUUCGCCAGGGACGAAGCGCAAGUGACGGUACCUGGAUAAGAAGCACCGGCUAACUACGUGCCAGCAGCCGCGGUAAUACGUAGGGUGCGAGCGUUGUCCGGAAUUAUUGGGCGUAAAGAGCUCGUAGGCGGUUUGUCGCGUCGGCCGUGAAAUCUCCACGCUUAACGUGGAGCGUGCGGUCGAUACGGGCAGACUUGAGUUCGG